GACGAACGCUGGAGGCGUGCUUAACACAUGCAAGUCGAACGAUGAAAUGGAGCUUGCUCCAUGGAUUAGUGGCGAACGGGUGAGUAACACGUGAAUAACCUGCCCUUAAUUUUGGAAUAACCCAGGGAAACCUGGGCUAAUACCGGAUAAGUAAACCUGUGGCAUCACAUGGUUUUGGAAAGUUUUUCGAUUAAGGAUGGAUUCGCGGCCUAUCAGCUUGUUGGUGAGGUAAUGGCUCACCAAGGCGACGACGGGUAGCCGGCCUGAGAGGGUGAACGGCCACACUGGGACUGAGACACGGCCCAGACUACUACGAGAGGCAGCAGUGGAGAAUAUUGCGCAAUGGACGAAAGUCUGACGCGGCGAGGCCUCGUGAGGGACGAAGGUCUUCGGAUUGUAAACCUCUUUCAGCAGGGACGAAGCGAAAGUGACGGUACCUGCAGAAGAAGCACCGGCUAACUAUGUGCCAGCCGCCGCAGUAA
RNAcentral lists this ribosomal RNA (482 nucleotides) under uncultured bacterium. RNAcentral describes it as "partial 16S ribosomal RNA". It matches the Rfam family "Bacterial small subunit ribosomal RNA", at positions 28 to 523 of the family's 1533-position model. The record is from RNAcentral.